UGCUAGAACAUUUUAAAAUGUAGAUUCUAUACAAGCAGUUAAAAGGAAGCAGAUCUAUUGAGAACCAGAUAUUUACUUCUCUCCUUUGUGGGUCAAAAUCUUAAAUGCUCUCUCCUAGCAGCUAACACUUCACUUCUACGCAAUGGUCAGAUAAACACACCUAUUUCAUUACUAUGGGAGAAUGAAAGCCCCUAUUGUUCUCCACUGAACAGCUCUGAGAUAAAUGCAAGCACACGCACUCACCUACAGAGCAUGUAGUAACCACAACAAAAAGAGGUUUAAAUCACCAGAUGUAGGGUUUACAUGGAGACUUGACAGUUGCAUUGACAACACAGUCUUAAAAGACUACUCAAUCAAGCUCAAGAGAAAAAUAAUUCACUAGCACACUGCUUGCUAGAGAGUCAGAUAUUUUUAUCUACUGAAACAGGACAAACUGAUAUUUUAAAGCUUCCCAUUUGCUUUUGCAUGUGUUCAUUUUACAUUUUGCUUUUGCUGAGAAAUGUUAUAAAUUAGCCAUGGAAACACUCCUCCUCCAGACUAUGGAUUUAUUAGGAUCAACAUGUUGCCAUCAUCCAAGAGAUCAAGAGGGUGUCCAGGAUCAUCUUCUGUGGUUGGGUGCUUGGGAUACAAAAAAGGAAGGAGUGGGACGCCUAUUUAAAUGUCAUAUCCACAAAUCAAUCUUAUCGUUUGAACCAUUUUCCGGUUGCCUACUUAAAGCCCAGUUGUAGCAUAAGCAUGGAAGAUGAACAACUAUUCUUUGCUAUGCUCCAAGCAGUGAAGCUUCUGAUGAAGACAAGACAAAGUUCUACAAUCAACUGAACUCUUUUUAUUCAACUAUCUCUAAUCACGAAAUUGUCACUCUGCUCAGUAAUUUUAAUGCUACUGUUGAUAAUUCAAGUGGACCAUGGAAAAACCUUAUUGGACCUAUAACCUCAAAUAUCUUAAAAAGCAAUGGGAAAGAUUUUGCUUCUGUCUUGCUGACCCAAGCUCCUGAUAUCGAAGGAGCAAGAGAAGACUACAACAAGCUGGCUUCACUCCCAGCCGUUCCAUGACAGAGCAAAUUGUCACAGUGCAUCAGCUUAUUGAGAAGGCACAAGACUUCAAGCACCCUGUUCACAUUACAUUUAUGGAUAUCAAGGUCAGGUUUGACUCUGUUGACAGGGAAUCACUUUGGCUGAUCUUGAAACUCGCAGGCUUCCCUGACAAGCUCCAUAAAAUGUUCCAUCUCCUAUCUGAUGAUUCCUCAAGCUGCAUCCUUGUAAAUGGAAAAAGAACCCCCUUCUUAAGAAUUAGGUUGGGCAUUCGAUGCCAUUCCAGA
Molecule: long non-coding RNA, 1318 nt
Organism: Mauremys mutica (yellowpond turtle)
Lineage: Eukaryota; Metazoa; Chordata; Testudines; Geoemydidae
Exons: 3
Source: RefSeq, a predicted model, not a curated record